RNAcentral lists this ribosomal RNA (253 nucleotides) under uncultured bacterium. RNAcentral describes it as "partial 16S ribosomal RNA". It matches the Rfam family "Bacterial small subunit ribosomal RNA", at positions 524 to 776 of the family's 1533-position model. The record is from RNAcentral.
UACGUAGGGCGCAAGCGUUAUCCGGAAUUAUUGGGCGUAAAGAGCUCGUAGGCGGUUUGUCGCGUCUGCUGUGAAAGACCGGGGCUCAACUCCGGUUCUGCAGUGGGUACGGGCAGACUAGAGUGCAGUAGGGGAGACUGGAAUUCCUGGUGUAGCGGUGAAAUGCGCGGAUAUCAGGAGGAACACCGAUGGCGAAGGCAGGUCUCUGGGCUGUAACUGACGCUGAGGAGCGAAAGCAUGGGGAGCGAACAGG